GUAUCUUCACCGUCGUCAUCGAUGAUCAAUAUUUUUAAUCAUUUUCUAGAAGUAACUCUUGAAAUUGCAACAUACAACUGACCAUGUGAAAACACUGGCGACGAAAGAUAUAUCCCAACAUGCUUUAAAGAUUUGUCUCUGACUCUUAUUAAUAGUCAUCGCAAAAGAAAUCAUUAUAGGAAAUUGUCUCCGUUGAAAUUUAAAAGGAAUUCUCACGUCAGAUGGUGUCAGAGAAAAUCUAGGUAUGAAAACCUGAUCACCA
This 262-nucleotide long non-coding RNA is filed under the name Trifolium pratense (red clover). Its description in RNAcentral is "long non-coding RNA (TPRA_LNC005885)". Lineage: Eukaryota; Viridiplantae; Streptophyta; Magnoliopsida; Fabales; Fabaceae. The record is from RNAcentral.